This 447-nucleotide ribosomal RNA is filed under the name uncultured bacterium. RNAcentral describes it as "bacterial SSU rRNA". It matches the Rfam family "Bacterial small subunit ribosomal RNA", at positions 329 to 792 of the family's 1533-position model. The record is from RNAcentral.
CUCCAGACUCCUACGGGAGGCAGCAGUGGGGAAUAUUGCACAAUGGGGGAAACCCUGAUGCAGCGACGCCGCGUGAGUGAAGAAGUAUUUCGGUAUGUAAAGCUCUCUCAGCAGGGAAGAAAAAAGACGGUACCUGACUAAGAAGCCCCGGCUAACUACGUGCCAGCAGCCGCGGUAAUACGUAGGGGGCAAGCGUUAUCCGGAUUUACUGGGUGUAAAGGGAGCGUAGACGGCGCGGCAAGUCUGAAGUGAAAGGCAGGGGCUUAACCCCUGAACUGCUUUGGAAACUGCCAUGCUAGAGUGCUGGAGAGGUAAGUGGAAUUCCUAGUGUAGCGGUGAAAUGCGUAGAUAUUAGGAGGAACACCAGUGGCGAAGGCGGCCUGCUGGACGACAACUGACGGUGAGGCGCGAAAGCGUGGGGAGCAAACAGGAUUAGAUACCCCCGUA